GAUGAACGCUGGCGGCGUGCCUAAUACAUGCAAGUCGAGCGAACGGACGAGAAGCUUGCUUCUCUGAUGUUAGCGGCGGACGGGUGAGUAACACGUGGAUAACCUACCUAUAAGACUGGGAUAACUUCGGGAAACCGGAGCUAAUACCGGAUAAUAUUUUGAACCGCAUGGUUCAAAAGUGAAAGACGGUCUUGCUGUCACUUAUAGAUGGAUCCGCGCUGCAUUAGCUAGUUGGUAAGGUAACGGCUUACCAAGGCAACGAUGCAUAGCCGACCUGAGAGGGUGAUCGGCCACACGGGAACUGGGACACGGUCCAGACUCCUACGGGAGGCAGCAGUAGGGAAUCGUCCGCAAUGGGCGAAAGCCUGACGGAGCAACGCCGCGUGAGUGAUGAAGGUCUUCGGAUCGUAAAACUCUGUUAUUAGGGAAGAACAUAUGUGUAAGUAACUGUGCACAUCUUGACGGUACCUAAUCAGAAAGCCACGGCUAACUACGUG
Molecule: ribosomal RNA, 497 nt
Filed under: uncultured bacterium
Lineage: Bacteria
Description: partial 16S ribosomal RNA
Rfam family: Bacterial small subunit ribosomal RNA
Source: RNAcentral